Molecule: long non-coding RNA, 468 nt
Organism: Peromyscus leucopus (white-footed mouse)
Lineage: Eukaryota; Metazoa; Chordata; Mammalia; Rodentia; Cricetidae
Exons: 2
Source: RefSeq, a predicted model, not a curated record
CUAGGAAGAGACCCGCGACGAGACAAAGACAUAGGAGGAAAACGCUCUAUGAUGGCACAGGAAGAGCUGGGAUGUCAGUAUGAACCAAGGAAUGCUGGAGGUGGUAAGCAAGCCACCGGAGGCUGUACAGAGCCAUUCCCCUCCAGGACAAAGGUGCCCCGCUUCCAAUGGAGCAGAGAGUGGCAACAGGUGGUACAGCUCAAGACAGACCCUGGUCCGGGGUGUGAGCUUCAAUGCUGGCCCCGGUAGACACCAGCAGUGGGAUUUGGAGCAAUUUACCUAAACUGUGUGCUCCUGUAUCCUGCUCACAAAAUGGGGAAAUGAAUAGUUUGAGUCCCAUAGCCGUGGUGAGAUUGAUCAAGUCAAGUGAUCUUAUGGAUCACUUGUGGAAAUAGGGACUCGGGACAGCACUGGACCCACUGUGAAAGCCAUGUCUCAUCACAAUACUGAUAAAUAUCUUUAUCUUUU